CCCGGGCCUUGUACACACCGCCGUCACACCACGAAAGUUGGCUCGACCCGAAGUCGCUAACCCAACCGCAAGGAGGGAGGCGCCAACGGUCUGGUCGAUGAUUGGGGUG
RNAcentral lists this ribosomal RNA (109 nucleotides) under uncultured bacterium. Its description in RNAcentral is "partial 16S ribosomal RNA". It matches the Rfam family "Bacterial small subunit ribosomal RNA", at positions 1373 to 1482 of the family's 1533-position model. The record is from RNAcentral.